CCGUGAGUUUCCUUUCAGGUGAGAGCCUUCAGCAGAGCACCAUGCCCUGUGGAAAGGGUCGCUCGCCUUCUUCUCCUUGGCAGAGUGACUUCCAGGCUGGGGCUCCGUGAGGCUGAUGGUGCUGCUGGCAGAGAUCAGCUGAGAGGUGCAAGCACCAAGAUGAGAUAAGGCUGAGCAGAUCCCCUGCUCCAGGGCAGGAAAUGCACCUGGGCAAAGCAAGCAGGGAGGCACAUAGCAGAGACUCCAGGUGGCACAGCCUGCGGCUCUCCAUUGAGAAGCGUGGCUCUGAAACAAAACAAGAUACAGCUGCCCCCGUCAGCUCUGAGUGAAGGAUCCUUCCAGUACUUGAAAGCUUGCUGGAGGGUUUUACUGGAAGAGCUCACUGUUUGUCAUAAUUCCAGUUUGUGUCAUAAUUCCAGAGAGUGGCGAACUAUAUCGACUGUGAAGUCCGCUGUGGCCCUUGCAGUUAAGGGAUGAAGUGCUGCAGGAGAAUGACAAAGUAGGUGGAGCCAUCCGGUGACUUGAAUAUAGCUGAAAACAAAAGAGGUGGUGGAAUGGAGAUAUCAAUCAGAAAUGACAAGCCCAAGAUUAUGCCAAGGCUCUCUGGUGCCUGCGAUGAUGGGCUCCCAUCAGCAGAAGGGCGACGGACAAGGGAUCUCUGAGCAGUCUGGUGGAUGCCAUGGCGGUGGUGGUGGAGGAGGUUCAUGCCAUGGUGGUGGUGGAGGAGGAUCCUGCCACUCCAGUGGGGGUGGAGGCUCUAUAGGAUACCAGAUCCAGGGAUCGUCCUGCCACAGUGGAGGAAGCAGCAGCAGUGGUGGUGCUAUCUACCAGACCCACAUAUCAUCAUCUUCCUUUGGAGGAGGAGGAGGAGGAGGAGGAUCUUCAGGCCACCAGAGCCAAGGAUCCAUCGGUGGUGGAAGUGGUGGUGGUGGUGGGUCAGGCCACCAAGGACAAGAACCCAUCUGCAUUAUUGGAGGAGGUGGCGGUGGUGGUGGUGGUGGUGGAGGCGGUUACAGCCACCAAAGCCAAGGCUCCAUCUGCAUUGGAGGUGGCAGCAUGGGUGGAGGAGGUGGAGGUGGUUCUGGCCACCAGGGCCAAGGACCCAUCUGCAUUAUUGGUGGAGGAGGAGGUGGUUCUGGCCACCAGAGUCAGGGACCCAUCUGCAUUGGUGGAGGUGGAGGAGGAGGAGGAGGUGGUUCUGGCCACCAGAGCCAAGGACCAAUCUGCAUUGGUGGAGGAGGAGGAGGAAAAGGAGGAGGUGGUGGUUCUGGCCACCAGGGCCAAGGAUCUAUCUGCAUUAUUGGUGGAGGUGGAGGAGGAGGAGGAGGAGGUGGAGGAGGAGGAGGAGGAGGAGGUGGUGGUUCUGGCCACCAGAGCCAAGGACCAAUCUGCAUUGGUGGAGGAGGAGGAGGAAAAGGAGGAGGAGGUGGUUCUGGCCACCAGGGCCAAGGACCCAUCUGCAUUAUUGGUGGAGGAGGAGGGGAAGGUGGUUCCAGUCACCAGGGCCAAGGACCCAUCUGCAUAGGUGGAGGAGGAGGAGGAGGAGGAGGUGGUGGUUCUGGCCACCAAGGCCAAGGACCCGUUUGCGUUAUUGGUGGAGGUGGAGGUGGAGGAGGAGGAGGUGGUUCUGGCCACCAGAGCCAAGGACCAAUCUGCAUUGGUGGAGGAGGAGGAGGAGGAGGAGGAGGAGGUGGGUCUGGCCACCAAGGCCAAGGACCCGUCUGCAUUAUUGGAGGAGGUGGAGGAGGAGGAGGAGGAGGUGGUGGUUCUGGCCACCAAGGCCAAGUACCUGUCUGCAUUAUUGGUGGAGGUGGAGGAGGAGGUGGUUCUGGCCACCAAGGCCAAGGACCCAUCUGCAUAGGUGGUGGAGGAGGAGGAGGAGGAGGAGGAGGAGGAGGUGGUUCUGGNGGCCAAGGACCCAUCUGCAUAGGUGGUGGAGGAGGAGGAGGAGGAGGAGGAGGAGGAGGUGGUUCUGGCCACCAAGGCCAAGGACCCAUCUGCAUUAUUGGUGGAGGCGGAGGUGGUGGAGGAGGAGGAGGUGGUUCUGGCCACCAGAGCCAAGGACCAAUCUGCAUAGGUGGAGGAGGAGGAGGAGGAGGUGGAGGAGGUGGGUCUGGCCACCAAGGCCAAGGACCCGUCUGCAUUAUUGGUGGAGGUGGAGGAGGAGGAGGAGGAGGUGGUGGUUCUGGCCACCAGAGCCAAGGAUCCAUCUGUAUUAUUGGAGGAGGUGGUUCUGGCCAGAGCCAGGGUUCCUCUUCUUUUGGAGGAGGUGCUGGUGGAGGUGGUUCGUCGAGCUCUGGGGGUAUGUCCAUUCAGCAGCAGACCCAACCAAUCUCCUGGCCACCACAGACUAAACAUAAGUAGUGGCUUUAGAAGAGAACCUUGUAACAAGAAAGCCCAGAAUGUAAACAUGUCACAUUUAUUUCUUUCUCUAUUAAAUGUAAGAAUACUGGUGUGAUUUCUUUCUCCUCUUCAUUGGAAUAUUUCUCUUCACCUCUCCAGAUGACCAGAACCUCUGGUGGUGUGUAUCAGUAACUUGCGCCUUGAUGCAGGUUGUUUGAUAUGUCCAUUUUCUGCCUCGACUUUCUAACGCUUGCACAAGAUAAUAAAACUUGCCACUCUAGAGAGCUUCA
Molecule: long non-coding RNA, 2633 nt
Filed under: Anser brachyrhynchus (Pink-footed goose)
Lineage: Eukaryota; Metazoa; Chordata; Aves; Anseriformes; Anatidae
Description: lncRNA (ENSABRG00000000442.1)
Source: RNAcentral